RNAcentral lists this ribosomal RNA (439 nucleotides) under uncultured bacterium. RNAcentral's name for it is "partial 16S ribosomal RNA". It matches the Rfam family "Bacterial small subunit ribosomal RNA", at positions 338 to 795 of the family's 1533-position model. The record is from RNAcentral.
CCUACGGGGAGCAGCAGUGGGGAAUAUUGGACAAUGGGGGAAACCCUGAUCCAGCGACGCCGCGUGAGUGAAGAAGUAUUUCGGUACGUAAAGCUCUAUCAGCAGGAAAGAAAAUGACGGUACCUGACUCAGAAGCCCCGGCUAACUACGUGCCAGCAGCCGGGGUAAUACGUAGGGGGCAAGCGUUAUCCGGGUUUAGUGGGUGUAAAGGGUGCGCAGGCGGAAGAUAAAGUCAGAGGUAAAAGUGAGAGGCUCAACCUCUUCGAGCCGUUGAAACUGGUUUUCUUGAGUGAGUGAGAAGUAUGCGGAAGGCGUGGUGUAGCGGUGAAAUGCAUAGAUAGCACGCAGAACUCCGAUUGCGAAGGCAGCAUACCGGCGCUCAACUGACGCUCAUGCACGAAAGUGUGGGUAUCGAACAGGAUUAGAUACCCCUGUAGUC